UUCCGGUUGAUCCCGCCGGACCUGACUGCUAUCGGAUUGAUACUAAGCCAUGCGAGUCUUUGUAGUAAUACAAGGCAGACGGCUCAGUAACACGUAGUCAACCUACCCUAUGGACAAGAAUAAUCUCGGGAAACUGGGCAUAAUUCUUGAUAGAUCAUAAUGCCUGGAAUGGUUUAUGGUUAAAAUGAUUCGUCGCCAUAGGAUGGGACUGCGGCCUAUCAGCUUGUUGGUGAGGUAAUGGCCCACCAAGGCGAUUACAGGUACGGGCUCUGAGAGGAGAAGCCCGGAGAUGGGUACUGAGACACGGACCCAGGCCCUAUGGGGCGCAGCAGGCGAGAAAACUUUGCAAUGUGCGAAAGCACGACAAGGUUAAUCCGAGUGAUUUCUGCUAAAGGAAUCUUUUGCCAGUUCUAAAAAUACUAGUGAAUAAGGGGUGGGCAAGUUCUGGUGUCAGCCGCCGCGGUAAAACCAGCACCUCAAGUGGUCAGGAGGAUUAUUGGGCCUAAAGCAUCCGUAGCCUGCUCUGUAAGUUUUCGGUUAAAUCUAUAUGCUCAACGUAUAGGCUGCCGAAAAUACUGCAGUGCUAGGAAGUGGGAGAGGUAGACGGUACUUGAUAGGAAGGGGUAAAAUCCUUUGAUCUAUCGAUGACCACCUGUGGCGAAGGCGGUCUACCAGAACACGUUCGACGGUGAGGGAUGAAAGCUGGGGGAGCAAACCGGAUUAGAUACCCGGGUAGUCCCAGCUGUAAACGAUGCAGACUAGAUGAUGCAUUGGCAUAUAGCCAGUGCAGUGUCUCAGGGAAGCCGUUAAGUCUGCCGCCUGGGAAGUACGUACGCAAGUAUGAAACUUAAAGGAAUUGGCGGGGGAGCACCACAAGGGGUGAAGCCUGCGGUUCAAUUGGAUUCAACGCCGGG
This 914-nucleotide ribosomal RNA is filed under the name uncultured marine archaeon. Its description in RNAcentral is "bacterial SSU rRNA". It matches the Rfam family "Archaeal small subunit ribosomal RNA", at positions 1 to 922 of the family's 1478-position model. The record is from RNAcentral.